RNAcentral lists this transfer RNA (72 nucleotides) under Phrynosoma platyrhinos (Desert horned lizard). RNAcentral describes it as "tRNA-OTHER". The record is from RNAcentral. Lineage: Eukaryota; Metazoa; Chordata; Lepidosauria; Squamata; Phrynosomatidae.
GCUAGCAUGGUGCAGUGGUUUGAGUGUUGGACUACGACUCUGGAGAUCAGGGUUCGAUUCCUUGCUCAACCA